CAGGCUGCAACCCGCCUGCACGAAGUUGGAAUUGCUAGUAAUCGCGGAUCAGCAUGCCGCGGUGAAUACGUUCCCGGGUCUUGUACACACCGCCCGUCACACCAUGGGAGCCGGUAAUACCCGAAGUCAGUAGUUUAACCCUUGUGGAGGACGCUGCCGAAGGUAGGAUUGGCGACUGGGGUGAAGUCGUAACAAGGUACC
RNAcentral lists this ribosomal RNA (201 nucleotides) under uncultured bacterium. RNAcentral's name for it is "partial 16S ribosomal RNA". It matches the Rfam family "Bacterial small subunit ribosomal RNA", at positions 1301 to 1500 of the family's 1533-position model. The record is from RNAcentral.